GGACCCAUAGUCUAGCGGCUAUGACGUCUCCUUCACAGGGAGAAGGUCGCCAGUUCGAAUCUGGCUGGGUCCA
RNAcentral lists this transfer RNA (73 nucleotides) under Nanobdellota archaeon. RNAcentral describes it as "tRNA-Val". It matches the Rfam family "tRNA". Rfam says of the family: Transfer RNA (tRNA) molecules are approximately 80 nucleotides in length. Their secondary structure includes four short double-helical elements and three loops (D, anti-codon, and T loops). Further hydrogen bonds mediate the characteristic L-shaped molecular structure. tRNAs have two regions of fundamental functional importance: the anti-codon, which is responsible for specific mRNA codon recognition, and the 3' end, to which the tRNAs corresponding amino acid is attached (by aminoacyl-tRNA synthetases). tRNAs cope with the degeneracy of the genetic code in two manners: having more than one tRNA (with a specific anti-codon) for a particular amino acid; and 'wobble' base-pairing, i.e. permitting non-standard base-pairing at the 3rd anti-codon position. The record is from RNAcentral. Lineage: Archaea; Nanobdellati; Nanobdellota. RNAcentral also lists the same sequence under 1 other name.